GUUUGACCUCGGAUCAGGUAGGGAUACCCGCU
RNAcentral lists this ribosomal RNA (32 nucleotides) under Medicopsis chiangmaiensis. RNAcentral describes it as "partial 28S ribosomal RNA". The record is from RNAcentral. Lineage: Eukaryota; Fungi; Ascomycota; Dothideomycetes; Pleosporales; Neohendersoniaceae.